This 3276-nucleotide long non-coding RNA is filed under the name Mytilus galloprovincialis (Mediterranean mussel). The record is from RNAcentral. Lineage: Eukaryota; Metazoa; Mollusca; Bivalvia; Mytilida; Mytilidae.
UAGAUAUGUAAUUAUAUGUAUAUUUGAUAUUCAUAACUUCUACUAAAUCUUUUAUUUCUUUUGAUAUCAUCAAAUUUGGAAAAACCUGUGUAAUUCAAUUCAAGGUAUGAUUUGAAAUUUUUUAUUCAUCAUACAUAUUUUAACACAAUCAUGGCCAAAUACGUAUACAAUUUUCGUGCACGAAUUCAACAACUUUCGAUUUGUGCAGAGAUCAAAUCUAUUGUUAGAGCCCUCAUUGUGAACAUAAAGUUUGGCCGCACGGUGCUGGCUUGAUGAAUGACAUUAGCAUGUCGUAGUGUUCAAUUGUAUUGUUAAAUUGGGUAUUUAUCUGUCCUAACGUUUUCCAUUUAUUUGUAUUGUAGUCCUGUCAUGUAAUGUUGCCAUUUUAGUGUUAUACCGGUAUUUAACAUUGCCAUAAAAGGUUUGGCUAGCAACAAAACCAGGUUCAACCAACCGUUUUUUUUUUCUUAAAAUGUCCUGUACAAAGUCAGGAAAAUGGCAAUUGUUAUCUUAUAGUUCGUUUCUGUGUGUGUUCCAUUGUAGUUUUGAUUUUUUGUUGCACUUAAGUGGUUCUGUUGUUUCGUUGUAUUCCUCUUAUAGUUGAUGUGUUUCCCUCAGUUUUAGUUUGUAACCCGGAUUUGUUUUCUCUCAAUCGAUUUAUGACUUUCGGAACAGCGUUAUACUACUGUUGCUUUUAUUAGUGACAAGACGAAUAUCCCUUUUUUUUAUGAAACAGCUGCAAAUGUUCAUUCCUAUUUCGUUACUCUAAUUCUGUGCAUGUCAUGCUAAGCUGAAAUGCACAUUCAUGAACAAUGUGUACGUCAUCAACUUUUUUAUUCGAAAAAAAAUAUAAAGUGAAAUUCCAAAACAUAUUUCAAUGAGCCGUAAAGUUUUUUUGUAGUAUUUAAAAAAAAAACCAACUCUAAACCGUUUUAGAUUUUAAUCAAAAUUGACUUUGAACUAGCUGUCGGUAAUUUGCAAUUUAUCUAAAGUCUGUUUUUGUUUUUUUUUGUUGUUUAUUUUUUUUUUUUUUGGUGGGGGAGUAUUUUCUGAUGUGCUUCUAGUUGAUCCAGUGAGUCUUCCCUUUUCUUUGGUUUUUAAUUUUAUCGGAAGGUUGACGACUAAUUUUCCCUGAAGUUACUUUACACUUGUGCUAUUUUUAACACUUCUUUCAAUUUUAACUGAAUUCAUGGUUUCACAACCCAUUGUGUGUAUUUAAUAGUGCUAAUAAUAACAACAUUACUUAAUUCUAAAUAAAUUACAAAAUUAUAAAUGCCCUUAGAUACACAAAUACAACAAUUUUGGUAGAUUUGGCAAAUUGUCAAUAGCAACAUGUAGCGCUGAAUAGCAUUUUUAUAUCAUGAGAAAAUCUAAAAUAGUGAAACAAUGUUUGAAGAACUAUUGUCUAAAGUAUAUCAAAAAGAUUGUUUGAUAUUCAAUUUCCAGUAACUUUUACUCCUGUGACUGGAACCAAUACAGGGGAAAUUGACACUACCGUUUUGUUGGCAACCAUUUGUCCAUUAAAACUUUCUAUUUUUAUGAAUUGUGGUCGGUAAGUUUGAUAAUUUUAUGGUUAUCUACCAGGUAUCUGACAACAGAACAUUAUAAAUGGUUGGUCGCAAGAUUAAAAAAAAAUAAAAACAGUGUUAAAUGAUUGUUUCGGCAACUUAUUCAAUCCCAAUUUAUAAAAGAUCAUUAAUGGUAACAUUUACUAUUAGAUACAUGUAUAUAUAUAUAUAUAUGUCUGAAAAUUACACCAAACAGUGUUAGAGUUAGAUUUCCUAUACUGACAAAUUUUGUCCGUCCUCAGCGGGAUUCGAACUCACCCACCGUUUUAUACACUACAGCACCAAUCGCUUAGCCGUCAUGACCAGCGCUCUAGACACUCGGACCACAUCCGGCAUAUAUAAAAAAUAUAACUUCAAUAGUCUAGAAUUAGAUGUUGACCUGAUGUCACGGAAGUGGAAUCUCAGAGAUAGACAAUGAGACACGUGUUUUUUAAGCGUGUAUAUAAGUAUAUAAUAUAUAUAAGUGUCUUUGGUACUAUUAAUAAACUCAUCAUAGAUACCAGGAUUAAAUUUUGUAUAAACGCCAGACGCGUUUCGUCUACAAAAGACUCAUCAGUGACACUCGAAUCAAAAAAGUUAAAAAGGCCAAAUAAGUACGAAGUUGAAGAGCAUUGAGGACCCAAAUUCCUAAAAGUUGUGCCAAAUACAGCUAAGGUAAUCUAUUUGGUGUUUUUUAUUGUUAAUUGUAGUAUGUGAUUUAUUUUGAGAAGUUUUCCCAUUGUUUGUGUCAGUGGCAGGCAAGUACAUGUAUCAUAACAUAAACUUUGGUUAAACUAUUGGCCCUUUUUGAUUUAACGAUACCAGCCGUGUUGUCCUGAAUACGCAUUUUGACAAUUCAUGUAUUUUCAGACAUACUCAUGACAUUGAAUUUGUAAGUGAUAUCUUGAAAUAAUUUUAAUUUUGGAUUGUAACGCGUCUUCUAAUUGGUGACGUCGUGUUGUUUCAGCCAUAGACAUAAUUUUGUCAUGUGACCGUGACGUCAUCAACGUUUUUUCAUGAUUUUACUCCGGUUUAAAAUGGAUUUUAGAAUUAAAUUAUAAGAAAUAACUGUAACAUUUUUUCUGUCUAUUCGAAAUAACAUAACAAAUGUAGUGCACACUUUAAAAUAACCCGUUACGCGCGUUAUUCAGUGUACAUCACAUUUUUUUAUGUUAUUUCUUCAUAGACAGAAAAAAUAUUACAGUCAUUCCUUAAAGAAGUUAGAAUAAAAAAUAUGGAAACAUUAAAUGAUUUCAUCAUUAAAAAUUAAGACAAUUUUUUGUAACAGGAAUCUCUUAUAGAAUCACACAGUAUUUUCAUAUGCAAAUCUUUAUCAGAAGCAUCUGCCUUAUGCAUAUUUUUUUUUUAUCUUCAAGGAAUAUGAAACUGCUACAUUUGUUAGUUAUAACGAUCACAACAUAUGUAAUACAUGCUGAACCUGUCAUUGAAUAUUGCUGGACAAAGUUUAACGGAGAAUAUAAAUAUAUCCAGUUUGGAAGAGAGAUGUGGUUUGAUCCAUGUUAUUUUUGUUGGUGCUAUGAAGGCGGAGACCCAAGGGACCGCCCAACAAGAGCAGGGUGCAACACGGUAGAUUGUCCAUACAUAGAAUGUCCUCCUGGAACACAAUUACAACCCGUCAAGAACAAAUGUUGCCUCGAGUGCAUGGCUAUUUAAUGUCAAAUUAAAUAGUUGUACAAGUUUUUAUUGUUUGAAUAAAUAUGUAAAGUUG